Molecule: ribosomal RNA, 898 nt
Filed under: uncultured archaeon
Lineage: Archaea
Description: bacterial SSU rRNA
Rfam family: Archaeal small subunit ribosomal RNA
Source: RNAcentral
GGAGGUUACUGCUAUCGAGGUUCGACUAAGCCAUGCGAGUCGAAUGUAGCAAUACAUGGCGAACUGCUCAGCAACACGUGGACAACCUGCCCUUAGGACGGGGAUAAACCCGGGAAACUGGGUAUAAUACCCGAUAGGUCUCGAUUGCUGGAAUGCAUCGAGAUUUAAAGCUCCGGCGCCUAAGGAUGGGUCUGCGGCCUAUCAGGUAGUAGUGGGUGUAGCGUACCUACUAGCCUACGACGGGUACGGGUUGUGAGAGCAAGAGCCCGGAGAUGGAUUCUGAGACACGAAUCCAGGCCCUACGGGGUGCAGCAGGCGCGAAAACUUUACAAUGCUGGCAACAGCGAUAAGGGAACCUCGAGUGCCAGGUUACAAAUCUGGCUGUCGAGAUGCCUAAAAAGCAUUUCAUAGCAAGGGCCGGGCAAGACCGGUGCCAGCCGCCGCGGUAACACCGGCGGCUCGAGUGGUAACCGUUAUUAUUGGGUCUAAAGGGUCUGUAGCCGGCCGGAUAAGUCUCUUGAGAAAUCUGGCAGCUUAACUGUCAGGCUUUCAGGAGAUACUGUCUGGCUCGAGGCCGGGAGAGGUGAGAGGUACUUCAGGGGUAGGGGUGAAAUCUUGUAAUCCUUGAAGGACCACCAGUGGCGAAGGCGUCUCACCAGAACGGACCUGACGGCAAGGGACGAAAGCUAGGGGCACGAACCGGAUUAGAUACCCGGGUAGUCCUAGCCGUAAACGAUACUCGCUAGGUGUCGGCCACGGUGCGACCGUUGUCGGUGCCGUAGGGAAGCCGUGAAGCGAGCCACCUGGGAAGUACGGCCGCAAGGCUGAAACUUAAAGGAAUUGGCGGGGGAGCACCACAACGGGUGGAGCUUGCGGUUUAAUUGGAGUCAACGCCGGA